CCUGCUGAUGCAAACGGUGAAGCGCUUGACUGCUAACCAAAAGGUUGGUGGUUCAAACCCACCCAGCUGCU
This 71-nucleotide transfer RNA is filed under the name Loxodonta africana (African savanna elephant). It matches the Rfam family "tRNA". Rfam says of the family: Transfer RNA (tRNA) molecules are approximately 80 nucleotides in length. Their secondary structure includes four short double-helical elements and three loops (D, anti-codon, and T loops). The record is from Rfam by way of RNAcentral. Lineage: Eukaryota; Metazoa; Chordata; Mammalia; Proboscidea; Elephantidae.